AUGGAGUAACUGAAAAUCCAUAAAGAGUAGGAG
This 33-nucleotide non-coding RNA is filed under the name Flavobacterium johnsoniae UW101. The record is from RNAcentral. Lineage: Bacteria; Pseudomonadati; Bacteroidota; Flavobacteriia; Flavobacteriales; Flavobacteriaceae.